This 460-nucleotide ribosomal RNA is filed under the name uncultured bacterium. RNAcentral's name for it is "partial 16S ribosomal RNA". It matches the Rfam family "Bacterial small subunit ribosomal RNA", at positions 338 to 795 of the family's 1533-position model. The record is from RNAcentral.
CCUACGGGAGGCAGCAGUGAGGAAUAUUGGUCAAUGGGCGCGAGCCUGAACCAGCCAAGUAGCGUGAAGGAUGACCGCCCUACGGGUUGUAAACUUCUUUUAUAAAGGAAUAAAGUGAGGCACGUGUGCCUUUUUGUAUGUACUUUAUGAAUAAGGAUCGGCUAACUCCGUGCCAGCAGCCGCGGUAAUACGGAGGAUCCGAGCGUUUUCCGGAUUUAUUUGGUUUAAAGGGAGCGUAGAUGGGUUGAUAAGUCAGUUGUGAAAGUUUGCGGCUCAACCGUAAAAGUGCAAUUGAUACUGGCAGUCUUGAGUACAGUUGAGGUAGGCGGAAUUCGUGGUGUAGCGGUGAAAUGCUUAGAGAUCACGAAGAACUCCGAUUGCGAAGGCAGCUUACUAAACUGCCACUGACAUUGAUGCUCGAAAGUGUGGGUAUCAAACAGGAUUAGAUACCCGGGUAGAA